UGGGGAAUAUUGCGCAAUGGGCGAAAGCCUGACGCAGCGACGCCGCGUGUGGGAUGACGGCCUUCGGGUUGUAAACCACUGUCGGGAGGGACGAAUGCCCCGCAAGGGGAGCGACGGUACCUCCAAAGGAAGCACCGGCUAACUCCGUGCCAGCAGCCGCGGUAAUACGGAGGGUGCGAGCGUUGUCCGGAAUCACUGGGCGUAACGGGCGCGUAGGCGGCCUGGUAAGUAGGGGGUGAAAUCCUGCGGCUUAACCGCAGGGCUGCCUUCUAAACUGUCAGGCUUGAGCACGGUAGAGGCAGAUGGAAUUCCCGGUGUAGCGGUGGAAUGCGCAGAGAUCGGGAAGAACAUCAGUGGCGAAGGCGGUCUGCUGGGCCGUUGCUGACGCUGAGGCGCGACAGCGUGGGGAGCAAAC
RNAcentral lists this ribosomal RNA (415 nucleotides) under uncultured bacterium. RNAcentral's name for it is "bacterial SSU rRNA". It matches the Rfam family "Bacterial small subunit ribosomal RNA", at positions 355 to 773 of the family's 1533-position model. The record is from RNAcentral.